CGUCGGUCCCCUCGCGACGAUACACCGUGAACCCCGUCAGGUCCGGAAGGAAGCAGCGGCAGCGGUCGACUCGGGCGCCGGGGUGUGGCUGGCGCUG
RNAcentral lists this signal recognition particle RNA (97 nucleotides) under Lysobacteraceae bacterium. RNAcentral's name for it is "signal recognition particle sRNA small type". It matches the Rfam family "Bacterial small signal recognition particle RNA". From Rfam's summary of the family: The signal recognition particle (SRP) is a universally conserved ribonucleoprotein involved in the co-translational targeting of proteins to membranes. Archaeal SRP consists of a 7S RNA and homologues of the eukaryotic SRP19 and SRP54 proteins. In most bacteria, the SRP consists of a 4.5S RNA and the Ffh protein (a homologue of the eukaryotic SRP54 protein). The record is from RNAcentral. Lineage: Bacteria; Pseudomonadati; Pseudomonadota; Gammaproteobacteria; Lysobacterales; Lysobacteraceae.